Triticum aestivum (bread wheat) is the source of this 558-nucleotide long non-coding RNA. RefSeq lists it as uncharacterized. The transcript has 5 exons. Lineage: Eukaryota; Viridiplantae; Streptophyta; Magnoliopsida; Poales; Poaceae. The record is from RefSeq and is a predicted model, not a curated record.
UUUUAGAUUGACUACUUACUCCAUGUCUUUGGUUCCUCCUGUCACUUAUUUUGUGUUGUUCUCGUUCGAGUCAGGCUCUGCUACCUGCUUUAUCAUCGCCUCCUUCUGUCACCAAGCCAAGUGUGACUGGUGGUGUGGCAUCUGAAGUUAAACCAAAGGCUCAACGUGGUAUUUUUAAAGAGAAAGUGUCUGCCUCAACUACCCCUGUGAUAUCUGAUCCAAUUGACAGUACCCUUGUUGAUGCAAAUGACGAUACCUUGGCUAUUGGGUCUGUCACUGAGCAGGGGAGGUCACCGUAGCUUGGCGCUUCCACCAAGAAAGAUGAUUUGCUAUCGCCCGAUCAGUCUUAUGAUGCAAAGAAGUCUCACCCAUCUGUUUCUGUUUAUGCUCGAAGCAAUUCGGGCAAGCGGCCCAGGAAGUGAAAAUGGUGCCUGGGAGGCAAGGGAACUUUUGUAUAUUCACACCUUUUGGUUAAUGUCGUUCUGAGUUGACGGUUUCUUACCAGUAUGCUUGUACGAGUGAUUCCCCUGCUUGAGCUUUGACUCGCGGGCACUUACC